AUUGAACGCUGGCGGCAUGCUUUACGCAUGCAAGUCGAACGGUAACAGGCCUUCGGGUGCUGACGAGUGGCGAACGGGUGAGUAAUGCAUCGGAACGUACCCAGAGGUGGGGGAUAACGCAGCGAAAGCUGUGCUAGUACCGCAUGUGAUCUGAGGAUGAAAGCGGGGGACCGAGCAGCAAUGUUUGGCCUCGCGCCUUUGGAGCGGCCGAUGUCGGAUUAGCUAGUUGGUGGGGUAAAGGCCUACCAAGGCGACGAUCCGUAGCUGGUCUGAGAGGACGACCAGCCACACUGGGACUGAGACACGGCCCAGACUCCUACGGGAGGCAGCAGUGGGGAAUUUUGGACAAUGGGCGCAAGCCUGAUCCAGCAAUGCCGCGUGCGGGAAGAAGGCCUUCGGGUUGUAAACCGCUUUUGGCAGGAACGAAACGGUGUCCGCUAAUACCGGGCGCUAAUGACGGUACCUGCAGAAUAAGCACCGGCUAACUACGUG
RNAcentral lists this ribosomal RNA (492 nucleotides) under uncultured bacterium. Its description in RNAcentral is "partial 16S ribosomal RNA". It matches the Rfam family "Bacterial small subunit ribosomal RNA", at positions 29 to 507 of the family's 1533-position model. The record is from RNAcentral.